GAAGAAAGAGGGAGGCGCGCCUAACACAUGCAAGUCGAACGAGCGAGAGAGAGCUUGCUUUCUCGAGCGAGUGGCGAACGGGUGAGUAACGCGUGAGGAACCUGCCUCAAAGAGGGGGACAACAGUUGGAAACGACUGCUAAUACCGCAUAAGCCCACGACCCGGCAUCGGGUAGAGGGAAAAGGAGCAAUCCGCUUUGAGAUGGCCUCGCGUCCGAUUAGCUAGUUGGUGAGGUAACGGCCCACCAAGGCGACGAUCGGUAGCCGGACUGAGAGGUUGAACGGCCACAUUGGGACUGAGACACGGCCCAGACUCCUACGGGAGGCAGCAGUGGGGAAUAUUGCACAAUGGGGGAAACCCUGAUGCAGCGACGCCGCGUGGAGGAAGAAGGUCUUCGGAUUGUAAACUCCUGUUGUUGAGGAAGAUAAUGACGGUACUCAACAAGGAAGUGACGGCUAACUACGUG
This 466-nucleotide ribosomal RNA is filed under the name uncultured bacterium. Its description in RNAcentral is "partial 16S ribosomal RNA". It matches the Rfam family "Bacterial small subunit ribosomal RNA", at positions 38 to 507 of the family's 1533-position model. The record is from RNAcentral.